AGCGUAGACGGUGUGGCAAGUCUGAUGUGAAAGGCAUGGGCUCAACCCGUGGACUGCAUUGGAAACUGUCAUACUUGAGUGCCGGAGGGGUAAGCGGAAUUCCUAGUGUAGCGGUGAAAUGCGUAGAUAUUAGGAGGAACACCAGUGGCGAAGGCGGCUUACUGGACGGUAACUGACGUUGAGGCUCGAAAGCGUGGGAGCAAACA
Molecule: ribosomal RNA, 206 nt
Filed under: uncultured bacterium
Lineage: Bacteria
Description: partial 16S ribosomal RNA
Rfam family: Bacterial small subunit ribosomal RNA
Source: RNAcentral